This 686-nucleotide ribosomal RNA is filed under the name Escherichia coli. Its description in RNAcentral is "partial 23S ribosomal RNA". It matches the Rfam family "Bacterial large subunit ribosomal RNA", at positions 215 to 941 of the family's 2925-position model. Lineage: Bacteria; Pseudomonadati; Pseudomonadota; Gammaproteobacteria; Enterobacterales; Enterobacteriaceae. The record is from RNAcentral.
GGAAAAGAAAUCAACCGAGAUUCCCCCAGUAGCGGCGAGCGAACGGGGAGCAGCCCAGAGCCUGAAUCAGUGUGUGUGUUAGUGGAAGCGUCUGGAAAGGCGCGCGAUACAGGGUGACAGCCCCGUACACAAAAAUGCACAUGCUGUGAGCUCGAUGAGUAGGGCGGGACACGUGGUAUCCUGUCUGAAUAUGGGGGGACCAUCCUCCAAGGCUAAAUACUCCUGACUGACCGAUAGUGAACCAGUACCGUGAGGGAAAGGCGAAAAGAACCCCGGCGAGGGGAGUGAAAAAGAACCUGAAACCGUGUACGUACAAGCAGUGGGAGCACGCUUAGGCGUGUGACUGCGUACCUUUUGUAUAAUGGGUCAGCGACUUAUAUUCUGUAGCAAGGUUAACCGAAUAGGGGAGCCGAAGGGAAACCGAGUCUUAACUGGGCGUUAAGUUGCAGGGUAUAGACCCGAAACCCGGUGAUCUAGCCAUGGGCAGGUUGAAGGUUGGGUAACACUAACUGGAGGACCGAACCGACUAAUGUUGAAAAAUUAGCGGAUGACUUGUGGCUGGGGGUGAAAGGCCAAUCAAACCGGGAGAUAGCUGGUUCUCCCCGAAAGCUAUUUAGGUAGCGCCUCGUGAAUUCAUCUCCGGGGGUAGAGCACUGUUUCGGCAAGGGGGUCAUCCCGACUUACCA